CCGUGGCGCAGAGGACUGUGCGUCAGUCAGCCUUCUACUGCUGGUGAAGACCGAGUUCAAAUCUGACCAGAAAUUUUAGGUUUUAUUCGAUCACCGUUCUUUCGGUAGGAGCAAACAACAAACUACUGAAAUCCUCGAAGUAAAGACGAUUUCUGGUUACUUUCGCGUGAGUUUAUCCAAGACGAAGAGGCACGAAGAUCCUGUCCGGAGCCUGAAGUCCCCGGGCUAGCUGCGGAUCGUCCGACCAAUCUGAGCUAAUUGGCCUCCAUAGCUAUACAGAAACGGUAUAAACUGAUGGAAGAGGGACAACUCUGUGCGAGAAGAGAUGAGACGUAUCAGGCUGAGAGACAGAGGUGGAGGAAGAACAUCUAGCUGUUCGAGAAUGAAUAGACGCAGAAUCAGAGUGAUAGACAGAGAAGAAAGACACGGGGAAACAGAGAGAUCGCCGCCAGGUACACAAAUUAUCUGGCGACGAAAAAACAACGGAAGAGCAAUUAAAUAAUGCCGCGUCGCCACAUAGUAGCAUUCCCUACCGUCCUUUUCUUCUACUGGGUGUCCCAAAAAUCUCUAUUAUAUUUUUGCAGACAUUCGUUAAUAUAAUGCGUCAAAUAAUUUAAAUA
Long non-coding RNA from Nylanderia fulva, 620 nucleotides. RefSeq lists it as uncharacterized. Lineage: Eukaryota; Metazoa; Arthropoda; Insecta; Hymenoptera; Formicidae. The record is from RefSeq and is a predicted model, not a curated record.